This 468-nucleotide ribosomal RNA is filed under the name uncultured bacterium. RNAcentral describes it as "partial 16S ribosomal RNA". It matches the Rfam family "Bacterial small subunit ribosomal RNA", at positions 28 to 507 of the family's 1533-position model. The record is from RNAcentral.
GACGAACGCUGGCGGCGUGCUUAACACAUGCAAGUCGAACGGAAAGGCCCUGCUUUUGUGGGGUGCUCGAGUGGCGAACGCGUGAGUAACACGUGAGUAACCUGCCCUUGACUUUGGGAUAACUUCAGGAAACUGGGGCUAAUACCGGAUAGGAGCUCCUGCUGCAUGGUGGGGGUUGGAACGUUUCGGCGGUUGGGGAUGGACUGGCGGCUUAUCAGCUUGUUGGUUGGGUAGUGGCUUACCAAGGCUUUGACGGGUAGCCGGCCUGAGAGGGUGACCGGCGACAUGGGUACUGAGAGACGGCGCAGAGUCCUACGGGAGGCAGCAGUGGGGAAUAUUGCACAAUGGGCGGAAGCCUGAGGCAGCAACGCCGCGUGCGGGAUGACGGCCUUUGGGUUGUAAACCGCUUUCGCCUGUGACGAAGCGGGAGUGACGGUAAUGGGUAAAGAAGCACCGGCUAACUACGUG